AAGGUGUAGCGGGUGAAAUGCGUAGAGAUCUGGAGGAAUACCGGUGGCGAAGGCGCCCCUUGGACGAAGACUGACGCUCAGGUGCGAAAGCCGUGGGGAGCAAACAGGAUUAGAUACCUUGGUAGUCCACGCGUAAACGAUGUCGACUUGGAGGUUGUGCCCUUGAGGCGUGGCUUCCGGAGCUAACGCGUUAAGUCGACCGCCUGGGGAGUACGGCCGCAAGGUUAAAACUCAAAAUGAAUUGACGGGGGCCCGCACAAGCGGUGGAGCAUGUGGUUUAAUUCGAUGCAACGCGAAGAACCUUACCUGGUCUUGACAUCCACGGAAGUUUUCAGAGAUGAGAAUGUGCCUUCGGGAACCGUGAGACAGGUGCUGCAUGGCUGUCGUCAGCUCGUGUUGUGAAAUGUUGGGUUAAGUCCCGCAACGAGCGCAACCCUUAUCCUUUGUUGCCAGCGGUCCGGCCGGGAACUCAAAGGAGACUGCCAGUGAUAAACUGGAGGAAGGUGGGGAUGACGUCAAGUCAUCAUGGCCCUUACGACCAGGGCUACACACGUGCUACAAUGGCGCAUACAAAGAGAAGCGACCUCGCGAGAGCAAGCGGACCUCAUAAAGUGCGUCGUAGUCCGGAUUGGAGUCUGCAACUCGACUCCAUGAAGUCGGAAUCGCUAGUAAUCGUGGAUCAGAAUGCCACGGUGAAUACGUUCCCGGGCCUUGUACACACCGCCCGUCACACCAUGGGAGUGGGUUGCAAAAGAAGUAGGUAGCUUAACCUUCGGGAGGGCGCUUACCACUUUGUGAUUCAUGACUGGGGUGAAGUCGUAACAAGGUAACCGUAGGGGAACCUGCGGCUGGAUCACCUCCUU
This 863-nucleotide ribosomal RNA is filed under the name uncultured bacterium. RNAcentral's name for it is "bacterial SSU rRNA". It matches the Rfam family "Bacterial small subunit ribosomal RNA", at positions 670 to 1532 of the family's 1533-position model. The record is from RNAcentral.